RNAcentral lists this ribosomal RNA (468 nucleotides) under uncultured bacterium. RNAcentral's name for it is "partial 16S ribosomal RNA". It matches the Rfam family "Bacterial small subunit ribosomal RNA", at positions 28 to 507 of the family's 1533-position model. The record is from RNAcentral.
GACGAACGCUGGCGGCGUGCUUAACACAUGCAAGUCGAACGGAAAGGCCCUGCUUUUGUGGGGUGCUCGAGUGGCGAACGGGUGAGUAACACGUGAGUAACCUGCCCUUGACUUUGGGAUAACUUCAGGAAACUGGGGCUAAUACCGGAUAGGAGCUCCUGCUGCAUGGUGGGGGUUGGAAAGUUUCGGCGGUUGGGGAUGGACUCGCGGCUUAUCAGCUUGUUGGUGGGGUAGUGGCUUACCAAGGCUUUGACGGGUAGCCGGCCUGAGAGGGUGACCGGCCACAUUGGGACUGAGAUACGGCCCAGACUCCUACAGGAGGCAGCAGUGGGGAAUAUUGCACAAUGGGCGGAAGCCUGAUGCAGCAACGCCGCGUGCGGGAUGACGGCCUUCGGGUUGUAAACCGCUUUCGCCUGUGACGAAGCGUGAGUGACGGUAAUGGGUAAAGAAGCACCGGCUAACUACGUG